GAUGAACGCUAGCGGCAGGCCUAACACAUGCAAGUCGAGGGGCAGCACAGAAACAGCAAUGUUUUGGUGGCGACCGGCGGACGGGUGCGUAACGCGUAUGCAACCUACCUUUAACAGGGGGAUAACGGAGAGAAAUUUCCACUAAUACCCCAUAACAUCGAUCAAGGCAUCUUGAUUGGUUGAAAACUCCGGUGGUUAAAGAUGGGCAUGCGUUGUAUUAGGUAGUUGGUGAGGUAAUGGCUCACCAAGCCUACGAUACAUAGGGGGACUGAGAGGUUAGCCCCCCACACUGGAACUGAGAAACGGACCAGACUCCUACGGGAGGCAGCAGUGAGGAAUAUUGGUCAAUGGGGCAACCCUGAACCAGCCAUGCCGCGUGCAGGAAGACGGCUCUAUGAGUUGUAAACUGCUUUUAAACAGGGAUAAAGCACAGUAUGUAUACUGUGUUGAAGGUACUGUAAGAAUAAGGAUCGGCUAACUCCGUGCCAGCCGCCGCCGUAA
This 501-nucleotide ribosomal RNA is filed under the name uncultured bacterium. Its description in RNAcentral is "partial 16S ribosomal RNA". It matches the Rfam family "Bacterial small subunit ribosomal RNA", at positions 28 to 523 of the family's 1533-position model. The record is from RNAcentral.